GCCAUUUUAUUUUAUAUUAGAACAAAAAUACAUUAUAAUAAUGCAUAGAGAUCCGAUCAAUCCUGAUGGAUAUAAAUGGAAGGUGUAUCUUAAUAAUACUACCCAAUAUCGGCUACGCUCUACGAUGGGUCAAGUUUCUUCAUGCCUUGUUAAUGCAAGGUUACAGAAUACAAUUCGAAAAUUAAAUGUGAAUGAUGCAACAGAAUGAAAACAAAAAGUUUCACUCGCACCUGUUAGGUGAGGUACUCUGCCUU
This 254-nucleotide long non-coding RNA is filed under the name Carica papaya (papaya). RNAcentral describes it as "long non-coding RNA (CPAP_LNC015792)". The record is from RNAcentral. Lineage: Eukaryota; Viridiplantae; Streptophyta; Magnoliopsida; Brassicales; Caricaceae.